Molecule: non-coding RNA, 2667 nt
Organism: Oryctolagus cuniculus (rabbit)
Lineage: Eukaryota; Metazoa; Chordata; Mammalia; Lagomorpha; Leporidae
Source: RefSeq, a predicted model, not a curated record
AGCGCGCGUUCUCCCGGCCCCGCCCCUCGGAGCCGGAGUUCCGCGCGGAGUGGGCGUGGCGGGGCGCGCGCGCGCGCACUGCGGCCCCGCCCACUCCUCCCGCCCCUCCGGAGGGUGCAAUUCGUCUCCUCGCGGCGCGGCCCGGCCGGAGGCUGCGAGCCUCGGCCGGAGGUGGCCGGGUGUCGUCCGAGGGCUCGGAGGAGAAUCAAGGCCAAGAGUAUGAACUGGGGAGGCAGACAGACCCGUCUUUGAUUCUGAUGUGGCUGCUGGCUGACCUUGACAAGUUACUACCUCCUCACCAUUACACAGUGUUCAUCUGUGCAGAGUGAACGCUCUGUUCCUUGAAUCUGGAAAUCCUGUGAGCACUCUGUGUGCAAGCCCAGACCAUCCUGCAGGACAACAAGACCAAGGGAGCAGGGCAGCCAGCCCAGCCCAGCCGAACUGUGUAGCUGAGCCCAGCCCAAAUCACUGAACUGUGGCAUCAGGAGAGGGAGGCUCUUAUGCUCAGCAGACACAGCACAGGGGGACACUGUGAAUCUGAUCCCGAGCACUUCUGAGGAGCUGAGCAGGUGCACACCCCCAGAACACUGGCUUCUGUGACUUGUGGGACAUCUGGAGUCCAGGAAGAAAACUGCUGUUCUUUCACAAGCUCAGAGGUUCAAAUCCACUCUAUGAGAUGCAACAAAAAGUGUCUCAGGCUACAGAUAAUCGAAAUGAAUUGAUCAAAGUAAUCUACAUGAUAGUUUAUAAAGGACAACCUCGUGGAAGAAAUAAAAGGAACCCUGGGUGCAUAAUUUCCUGUGUCUAAACAGCCGUGUGAUCAGCAGGGUUCUGGUUUAACUCCUGCAUUCCACCUAGUGACUGCUGGGUUGCACAUGGCCUGAUCCUGGAUGCAGUGACUCUCAGAGGAUGGAGAGGAGAAAGAGAGAUACCUCCUGACUGCUGAUUCACUCCUCAGAUGCCAACAACAGCCAGGGCUGAGUCAGACCGAAGCCAGGAACCACAGACUCCAUCUGUGUCUCCCACAUGAGUGGCCGGGUCCAGGUAUGGAGCCGUCACCUGCUGCCUCCCAGGGUGUGCGUCAUCAUUAAGCUAGACUGGCAGCUGAAGAGCUGAGACUUGAAGUGACACUCUGAUAUAGGAUGUGAGGAUCCCAAGUGGUAGCUCAACUCACUGCUACAACAUCUACCCCAAAAUAGGAGAUUUUUGAAUUAUGCCUCUUCUGUGUAUGAGGACAUGAUUGCUCAAGCAUUUCAAAGAACAGUGGAUAAGAGGAAGUUUAGAGUAAGUUCUUGAGCAUCUGGGAAAUUUCCAGAAUAUAUAUUAGGAGUAUAUUUAGCUGCAAAUAACAGAAAGGCAGACUGCAAGGGAUUGAACAAGUGGUUUUAUUUUCUGUCACAUGAAGGCCAAAGACUGAAGUCCAGCUCAGGAAGCCAGAGAUCAUCUCCGUUUCUGUGUUGCUAUUUCUGGAAUCUUUGUUUCCUUAUAAUGUUUGUCAUUUCAUGACUGCAGUAUGGCCCUUGAGCCUCCAGGCAUAGCUUCUGUGUCCCAGGCAGAAAGAAGAGAGAAGAGUGAAAGAAUGGGCCAUGGGCUCUUUCAGCUGAGCCUGUUUCUUUAUUAGAAAAGCAAAACGUUUUCUUAGAAAUUUUCCCAGAUGUUCGCUUACAUCUCAUCGGCCAGAAUUGGGUCUCAGGGUCAAUGUUAGGCAGUUGUGGCUCAAGGGUAUAAAUUACCGUGGCAAGGCUGACCAAUCAUGAUUUACCUCCUGGAGCUGAUGAAGAUGUCCCUGCUACUACCUGGUAAAUCUGCCAGUAGGAAAGCAGGCAGAGGAGCAGAUACUGGGGCAGUGAUGGAUGCGAUCCACCCUGAUGACCAUAACCGGUAUCCCUUGGGCCCGUUCACAUCCUCUCAGUCCUCACCUUCUUUCCAGGCUCGGCUGUGGGACGCCAAUUCUCAUGGGCUUUGCAACCUGACCACGCCCAGCCUUGGGUGCGUAGAGUCCACCCUUGUUUCCUGCUCUUGCAGUAUGGCAGUGGCAGUGGCUCAGCCCCUGUGCUGGAGUGGUGGGAAUUAUGGGAGGGUGAAUUAGUGCCUCAUGGGAAACUCUCUACCAGUGAGGGAUAGAACACAGGGUAAAAUCUUUUGUUCCUUAAGCAGAUAGUUCUCAAAUGCUUUCUGUGAGACUUCUAGAAAGGACUGUGAAUGGAGCAAUGGGCUGCCUCUAGCAGUGACGACCAGAUGACACACCUCUGCACUGAUUCUCUUCCUUUCACUGUUUAUUCCUCUGGCUCUCCUUUCUACUCCCUGGGGAAUCUCAUUCAUAACGAAAUCACUUUUGAAUCAGAUUCCAUUUCAGGCUCUGAUUCCAGGGAACUCCAGGUUGUGGCACUGACAAGUAGAUGACUGGGAGGCGACAUGGAUGCCUGGUGACAGACGUCAGGAAGAGAAGGGCCCAGAUCGCGGCUCUGGCACUGGAGUGCCUGCUCCUAGCACCUCUCUUCCCACUAGUUGUUCUCUUUACUCUGUUUUGGAGAUCACCAACUGAAAGGCGUGUAAAUAGGUUAUAUAGGCAUAAAGGAGUGUUGGGGACUGUGGCGGCCUGGAGUACACCUUCCCCCUCUAAAGGGGGAAGCCACUGGAAAUUUGUAUCUUUUUCAUUUUGUUAUG